GAUGAACGCUGGCGGCGUGCCUAAUACAUGCAAGUCGAGCGAACGGACGAGAAGCUUGCUUCUCUGAUGUUAGCGGCGGACGGGUGAGUAACACGUGGAUAACCUACCUAUAAGACUGGGAUAACUUCGGGAAACCGGAGCUAAUACCGGAUAAUAUUUUGAACCGCAUAGUUCAAAAGUGAAAGACGGUCUUGCUGUCACUUAUAGAUGGAUCCGCGCUGCAUUAGCUAGUUGGUAAGGUAACGGCUUACCAAGGCAACGAUGCAUAGCCGACCUGAGAGGGUGAUCGGCCACACUGGAACUGAGACACGGUCCAGACUCCUACGGGAGGCAGCAGUAGGGAAUCUUGCGCAAUGGGCGAAAGCCUGACGGAGCAACGCCGCGUGAGUGAUGAAGGUCUUCGGAUCGUAAAACUCUGUUAUUAGGGAAGAACAUAUGUGUAAGUAACUGUGCACAUCUUGACGGUACCUAAUCAGAAAGCCACGGCUAACUACGUG
This 497-nucleotide ribosomal RNA is filed under the name uncultured bacterium. RNAcentral describes it as "partial 16S ribosomal RNA". It matches the Rfam family "Bacterial small subunit ribosomal RNA", at positions 28 to 507 of the family's 1533-position model. The record is from RNAcentral.